UGCAGUCGAGCGCAGGAACCGGCGGAACCCUUCGGGGGGAAGCCGGUGGAAUGAGCGGCGGACGGGUGAGUAACACGUGGGCAACCUGCCUUUCAGACUGGGAUAACCCCGGGAAACCGGGGCUAAUACCGGAUAACCAGCCGGUUCGCAUGAACCGGCUGUAAAAGAGGGGAGUUUUCUCCUCUCACUGAAAGAUGGGCCCGCGGCGCAUUAGCUAGUUGGUAAGGUAGUGGCUUACCAAGGCGACGAUGCGUAGCCGACCUGAGAGGGUGAUCGGCCACACUGGAACUGAGACACGGUCCAGACUCCUACGGGAGGCAGCAGUAGGGAAUCAUCCGCAAUGGGCGAAAGCCUGACGGUGCAACGCCGCGUGAACGACGAAGGUUUUCGGAUCGUAAAGUUCUGUUGUGAGGGAAGAACACGUGCCGGUCAAACAGGCCGGCACCUUGACGGUACCUCACGAGAAAGCCCCGGCUAACUACGUGCCAGCAGCCGCGGUAAUACGUAGGGGGCAAGCGUUGUCCGGAAUUAUUGGGCGUAAAGCGCGCGCAGGCGGUCUUGUAAGUCUGAUGUGAAAGCCCACGGCUCAACCGUGGAGGGUCAUUGGAAACUGCAGGACUUGAGUGUAGGAGAGGAAAGUGGAAUUCCACGUGUAGCGGUGAAAUGCGUAGAUAUGUGGAGGAACACCAGUGGCGAAGGCGACUUUCUGGCCUACAACUGACGCUGAGGCGCGAAAGCGUGGGGAGCAAACAGGAUUAGAUACCCUGGUAGUCCACGCCGUAAACGAUGAGUGCUAGGUGUUAGGGGUUUCGAUGCCCUUAGUGCCGAAGUUAACACAUUAAGCACUCCGCCUGGGGAGUACGGCCGCAAGGCUGAAACUCAAAGGAAUUGACGGGGGCCCGCACAAGCAGUGGAGCAUGUGGUUUAAUUCGACGCAACGCGAAGAACCUUACCAGGUCUUGACAUCCGUUGACCGCUCUGGAGACAGA
Molecule: ribosomal RNA, 989 nt
Filed under: Alkalicoccus luteus
Lineage: Bacteria; Bacillati; Bacillota; Bacilli; Caryophanales; Bacillaceae
Description: bacterial SSU rRNA
Rfam family: Bacterial small subunit ribosomal RNA
Source: RNAcentral